AUACGGAGGGUGCAAGCGUUAAUCGGAAUUACUGGGCGUAAAGGGUGCGCAGGUGGUUUAUUAAGUUAAAUGUGAAAUCCCCGGGCUCAACCUGGGUUGGUCAUUUAAAACUGAUAGACUUGAGUAUAGGAGAGGGCAGUGGAAUUUCCGGUGUAGCGGUGAAAUGCGUAGAUAUCGGAAGGAACACCGGUGGCGAAGGCGACUGCCUGGCCUAAUACUGACACUGAGGCACGAAAGCGUGGGUAGCAAACAGGAUUAGAAACCCCAGUAGUCC
RNAcentral lists this ribosomal RNA (274 nucleotides) under uncultured bacterium. RNAcentral describes it as "partial 16S ribosomal RNA". It matches the Rfam family "Bacterial small subunit ribosomal RNA", at positions 523 to 796 of the family's 1533-position model. The record is from RNAcentral.